Molecule: long non-coding RNA, 612 nt
Filed under: Sorghum bicolor (sorghum)
Lineage: Eukaryota; Viridiplantae; Streptophyta; Magnoliopsida; Poales; Poaceae
Description: long non-coding RNA (SBIC_LNC000659)
Source: RNAcentral
GCCACAAUAUGCCUUAAUCCUCUCUCUCUCUCUGAUCUAGGGCCACCCUUCACCUCACCUUCUCUAUCACAGAUCCAUGGCGACGACGACGACAAGCGGCUUCUCUAGCGGCGGUCUGCUCCUUCUCCUGAUCUCUCCCAUGGCGCGGUGACGGUGGAUUGGGUCAAUGGGGGCAGGUGCAGGCAACAUGAUCCAGAAGAUGGCUGGAUUCGACGAGCAGCUUCUAGAUCCAGCUAGCGGGCACAGUGGCAGUGUAGAUCUGACGUGCGAGCACACCGAUGGUGCAGAUUCGGCUAGCAGUGCCUGGGCUCGGUGGGCUUUUUUUUGUUUUUUCUGAUCAAUUAACCGAGGCAGGUGUUAUAAAGUGGCCACCUCCGUUAAAAUAUUAGUGAAGGCGAACAGUUAUAGUGCCCCACCUCCACUAAUCGUAUUAAUGGAGACGAUCGCUUUAUAGUACCCACCUCCGUUAAUACGAUUAAUGAAGACGGAUAGUGUGACCGCCUCAGUUAUCUAUCAAUUAACCGAGGCUUUUUAGGCCAGUCUCAAUGCAUAGUUUCAUGGCACAGUUAUCAAGAUUAUAAACUAGGUAACCGAGCUACAUGAGUUUCAUGG